AGAGUUUGAUCCUGGCUCAGAACGUACGCUGGCGGCACGCCUAAUACAUGCAAGUCGAACGGAGUAGCAAUACUUAGUGGCAGACGGGUGAGUAACAUGUGGGUAUCUUCCCUUUGGUGAGGAAUAACACGAGGAAACUUGUGCUAAUACCUCAUAAGUCUUUACGGAGAAAGCUUUAUGCGCCAAUGGAUGAGCCCGCACUUGAUUAGUUUGUUGGUAGGGUAAUGGCCUACCAAGACUGUGAUCAAUAGCUGAUUUGAGAGGAUGAUCAGCCACAUUGGGACUGAGACACGGCCCAAACUCCUACGGGAGGCAGCAGUAGGGAAUCUUGCACAAUGGAGGAAACUCUGAUGCAGCGAUGCCGCGUGAGUGAAGAAGGCCUUUGGGUUGUAAAGCUCUUUCGUCGGGGAAGAAAAUGACUGUACCCGAAUAAGAAGGUCCGGCUAACUUCGUGCCAGCAGCCGCGGUAAUACGAAGGGACCUAGCGUAGUUCGGAAUUACUGGGCUUAAAGAGUUCGUAGGUGGUUAAAAAAGUUGGUGGUGAAAGCCCAGAGCUUAACUCUGGAACGGCCAUCAAAACUUUUUAGCUAGAGUUUGAUAGAGGAAAGCAGAAUUUCUAGUGUAGAGGUGAAAUUCGUAGAUAUUAGAAAGAAUACCGAUUGCGAAGGCAGCUUUCUGGAUCAUUACUGACACUGAGGAACGAAAGCAUGGGUAGCGAAGAGGAUUAGAUACCCUCGUAGUCCAUGCCGUAAACGAUGUGUGUUAGAUGUUGGAAAUUUAUUUUCAGUAUCGCAGCGAAAGCAAUAAACACACCGCCUGGGGAGUACGACCGCGAGGUUAAAACUCAAAUGAAUUGACGGGGACCCGCACAAGUAGUGGAGCAUGUGGUUUAAUUCGAAGAUACGCGCAGAACCUUACCAACACUUGACAUGUUCGUCGCGACUCUAAGAGAUUAGAGUUUUCGGUUCGGCCGGACGAAACACAGGUGCUGCAUGGCUGUCGUCAGCUCGUGUCGUGAGAUGUUGGGUUAAGUCCCGCAACGAGCGCAACCCUCACUUUUAGUUGCCAUCAUUUAGUUGGGCACUCUGAAAGAACUGCCAGUGAUAAGCUGGAGGAAGGUGGGGAUGACGUCAAGUCCUCAUGGCCCUUACGUGUUGGGCUACACACGUGCUACAAUGGUAUCUACAACAGGAAGCAAAACAGCGAUGUUAAGCAAAUCCCAAAAAGAUACCUCAGUUCGGAUUGCACUCUGCAACUCGAGUGCAUGAAGCUGGAAUUACUAGUAAUCGUGGAUCAGCGUGCCACGGUGAAUACGUUCCCGGGUCUUGUACACACCGCCCGUCACACCAUGGGAGUUGGUUCUACCUUAAGGCAAAGCUUAAAACCUUUGACCACGGUAUAGUCAGCGACUGGGGUGAAGUCGUAACAAGGUAACC
This 1436-nucleotide ribosomal RNA is filed under the name uncultured Alphaproteobacteria bacterium. RNAcentral describes it as "bacterial SSU rRNA". It matches the Rfam family "Bacterial small subunit ribosomal RNA". The record is from RNAcentral. Lineage: Bacteria; Pseudomonadati; Pseudomonadota; Alphaproteobacteria.